GGCUAGCGACUGGCCGGCAUGCGGGGUAAGAGGUAGGGUCAGGGCGUUAAUCGGAAGUACGGUGCGUAAUGGUGGCGCAGGCGGUUAUUUAAGACGGAUGUGGAAGCCCCGGGCUCAGCCUGGGAACUGCAUUUGUGACUGCAUGGCUAGAGUACGGUAGAGGGGGAUGGAAUUCCGCGUGUAGCAGUGAAAUGCGUAGAUAUGCGGAGGAACACCGAUGGCGAAGGCAAUCCCCUGGACCUGUACUGACGCUCAUGCACGAAAGCGUGGGGAGCAAACAGGAUUAGAUACCCUGUAGUC
This 300-nucleotide ribosomal RNA is filed under the name uncultured Methanocella sp. Its description in RNAcentral is "bacterial SSU rRNA". It matches the Rfam family "Bacterial small subunit ribosomal RNA", at positions 495 to 795 of the family's 1533-position model. Lineage: Archaea; Methanobacteriati; Methanobacteriota; Methanomicrobia; Methanocellales; Methanocellaceae. The record is from RNAcentral.